UGCUUGGGAAUAUGCCUUUUAGGUGGGGGACAACAGUUGGAAACGACUGCUAAUACCGCAUAAUGUCUACGGACCAAAGGAGGGGAUCUUCGGACCUUUCGCCUUUUAGAUUAGCCCAAGUGAGAUUAGCUAGAUGGUGGGGUAAAUGGCCUACCAUGGCGACGAUCUCUAGCUGGUUUGAGAGGAUGAUCAGCCACACUGGGACUUGAGACACGGCCCAGACUCCUACGGGAGGCAGCAGUGGGGAAUAUUGCGCAAAUGGGCGAAAGCCUGACGCAGCGACGCCGCGUGGGGGAUGAC
RNAcentral lists this ribosomal RNA (300 nucleotides) under uncultured Colwelliaceae bacterium. Its description in RNAcentral is "bacterial SSU rRNA". It matches the Rfam family "Bacterial small subunit ribosomal RNA", at positions 114 to 412 of the family's 1533-position model. The record is from RNAcentral. Lineage: Bacteria; Pseudomonadati; Pseudomonadota; Gammaproteobacteria; Alteromonadales; Colwelliaceae.